UAGGGAAUCUUCGGCAAUGGACGAAAGUCUGACCGAGCAACGCCGCGUGAGUGAAGAAGGUCUUCGGAUCGUAAAACUCUGUUGUUAGAGAAGAACAAGGACGUUAGUAACUGAACGUCCCCUGACGGUAUCUAACCAGAAAGCCACGGCUAACUACGUGCCCGAAGCUGCGGUAAUAUGGAGGUGGCAAGCGUGGUCCGGAUUUAUUUGGCGUAAAGCGAGCGCAGGCGGUUUCUUAAGUCUGUUGUGAAAGCCCCCGGCUCAACCAGGGAGGGUCAUUGGAAACUGGGAUACUUGAGUGCAGGAGAGGAGAGUGGAAUUCCAUGUGUAGGGGUGAAAUGCGUAGAUAUAUGGAGGAACACCAGUGGCGAAGGCGGCUCUCUGGUCUGAAACUGACGCUGAGGCUCGAAAGCGUGGGGAGCAAACAGG
RNAcentral lists this ribosomal RNA (429 nucleotides) under Gemmatimonadota bacterium. Its description in RNAcentral is "Gemmatimonadetes bacterium partial 16S ribosomal RNA". It matches the Rfam family "Bacterial small subunit ribosomal RNA", at positions 355 to 776 of the family's 1533-position model. The record is from RNAcentral. Lineage: Bacteria; Pseudomonadati; Gemmatimonadota.